RNAcentral lists this transfer RNA (68 nucleotides) under Haemaphysalis humerosa. Its description in RNAcentral is "tRNA-Lys". Lineage: Eukaryota; Metazoa; Arthropoda; Arachnida; Ixodida; Ixodidae. The record is from RNAcentral.
CAUUGAAUGGCUGAAACAUUUAAGCAAUGGUCUCUUAAACCAAUUUAUAGUAUUUUUACUUUCAAUGA